This is a long non-coding RNA of Globicephala melas (long-finned pilot whale), 3847 nucleotides long. RefSeq lists it as uncharacterized. The record is from RefSeq and is a predicted model, not a curated record. Lineage: Eukaryota; Metazoa; Chordata; Mammalia; Artiodactyla; Delphinidae.
AUUCAUAUGAAAACUACACCCUCUAAAGUUAUUAACCCUUAUUAUGAACUUAUUAGUAAUUUAAUAAUGCAAGGUAGAACUAGAUGCUUACAACCUAUAAGUAUAGAACCUUCUCAAAUUAUUAUCCCUGAUUCAGUUAGUCAACAAAAUUGGCUUUUUCAACAUAGUAAUGAAUGGGGUCUUGCUCUUGCAGGAUUUUCAGGUACCUUGGAAUGCCAUUACCCUGCUGAUAAAUUGAUCCAAUUCAGCAAACUUAACUCAUAUCUUUCCUUCUAUAAUUAGGCAACAGCCUGUCCCUCAUGUACCUUUGGUUUUUACGGACGGUUCUUCUUCAGGAGUGGCUACUGUAAUCAUUGACGACGGAACGAACCUCGUUAAAGAAACUUCCUUGACUUCAGCUCAACGUGUUGAACUCUUAUUCGUUCCCAUGAUGGUCCUGUCGCAGGUCUGUAUAUCCGUGCUCAUUCUAACUUGCCUGGUCCAUUGACUAAACUUAAUGCGACUGCAGAUGUUUUAACUCGAUCUAAACGUGAUCUUUAUCCUGUACAUUUUCCUCCCAAGAAUAGAGUUGAAGUUACUCCUCCUCCUCAAUCUCUUUUCCGUAAAGCAGGACAUGUCCCAAUUUACCGUACUCCUCCUUUCCGUUCGUCAUGCUGUCAAGAAUGGCUAAUAUACUGCAUUCAUUAUCUCCAUACUCUUGAUACUCAUGGUCCAUGUCCUGGACACCCUCAUAUUAUGGUAAGUUAUGAUCAAACUGCUUCACAAGCAGCACAGCAGUUGCACGCUUUACACCGUCAGUCAGCGGCUACAUUACACACACAAUUUUCCCUUACUGGUGAAGCCGCCCCACAAAUUGUUAAGCAAUGCCCACAAUGCUUACCUCACCUUCCUGUUCCACAUUAUGUUGUUAAUCCUCGUGGAUUAUUACCUAGACAUUUAUGGCAAAUGGAUGUUACUCAUAUCCCGUCUUUUGGGAAAUUACAGUUUGUUCAUGUCACUAUCGAUACUUAUUCUGGUUUCCUCUGUGCUACAGCACAGACCGGAGAAGCUACUAAACAUGUUAUCACUCAUUUAUUACACUGUUUUGCUUUCAUGAACCUUCCCAAAAUUAUUAAAACAGAUAAUGGGCCCGCUGCUUUUGCAACAUUUUGUAAUUCAUUACAAAAUUACCCAUAUUACAGGCAUUCCAUAUAACCCUCAAGGACAAGGUAUUAUAGAACGUGCAAAUAGAUCUUUAAAGCUAACUAUUGAAAAAAUAAAAAUGGGGGAAUUGUAUAGAACAACGCCACAUAACCUUAUAAAUGAUGCUCUGUUUAUUUUAAAUGUUCUCACUGUUGACAAAUUUGGCUGCUCUGCAGGGGGAAGGUUGGUGGCUGAGCCAAGAUUGGCCUCUCAAUCUCCGGAGGUCCUCUGGAGAGAUCCGUUAACCAGCACUUGGAGUGGUCCUGAUCCUGUGUUGAUUUGGGGACGUGGUCACGUGUGUAUCUUUCCCAGAUCAGCGCCUGGACCUUGCUGGCUUCCUGAGCGCUUAGUCAAGCAAAUAGAUGGCUUGCCACAGCUCACCUAGUUCAGAAGAUGAAGAAGCUCUGCAUCUCUCCCGAAAAUUUGACAGUGUUGAUUCAGAAAAAGAAGAAGAGGAGACCACUUGCCAGGACGACUCAAAGGAGUGAUGUUCCAACUUGGGGACAAAUUAAACAACUGGUUUCAUGAGCUCAAGAGUCAGUGAAACAACAGAAUAAUCCUGUUACACCUGUAACUUUUUUUUUGGUUAUGUUGGCAACCAUUUCAUGUGUUCCCUCUGUUAAUGCAGCAACUUACUGGGCCUAUGUACCUGAUCCUCCACUAUUACAACCUAUAUCUUGGUCUGAAGCAGAGUUUCCUGUAUUUUACAAUGAUAACUGUUUAUGGGCCUCUUAUUGGGAAUAUAAAACAAAUCAAUAUGUCUGUAAAUUAUACUAACUGGCUUAGUACACAUCCUGUCUGUCUUAGCCCACUGAAUCUGGAAACUGGACAUGUAAAGGCUAUUAGUUAUGAGCAUACAGAUGUUUAUGAGGGAACGGAUCAAUCAAUUAGUUUGUCAGGCUCUCCAGGCAUCCUUCGUUUUACAGGAACCAACAUUACUCUUACAUGCCACGCUACCAGCCGACGAGAGGAUCUUAAGGAUACCAUCAUUUGGUAUAAAAUGGGCAAGCUAUUAAUAUUAGAGGUCAAAUCUCAUACGCCUCACCACUUAGGGAUUCCGCUAUUACUAUAGCCAAGGUUACAGGUGAAGAUUCAGGAAAUUAUUUCUGUAUGAAGCGUUUACUUGGAGGACAAGGGAUACUUAUAGCUGGACAUAAGGUUACUAUGCUUAACAGAAAAUCAAAAAAUCAAUUUCCUCCCUUUAUGACCGUUAACUUUCCUGGAUCCACUUUUGAACGUUGCAAUGCAUCUUGGAAUAAUAACCAAAUAUGGUGUACUAUAGAUUAUACCAAGGUGUCAAUUCUUAUCUCUUCUUUUCCCAUCAUAGAUAGGUUUAUCACAUUUCAAAAGAACUGGGAUAUAUGGAAACUAGCUCUAACUUAUUCCAAUACACCUGUUAUAACUUGUGUUGCUCCUCCGUAUACACUUUUGUUUGGUUCUAUUAACAUUGGUAAUUCUUCCAAAGGAGGAUAUAAUAUUAGCUGUGUUAAUUGUAUUUUUAGCAGUUGUAUGUUCCCUUCUGCAGGAACGCAAUCUGUGCUUAUACUAAAGCAACCCAUGUAUGUUAUGGUGCCUGUACAUCUGAGAGAACCUUGGUAUGAAGAUACUGGAGUACAGGCAUGGGUGGAACUCUCUAAAGCCUUGCAGAGAGGAGACACUUUCUUGGGUGGCUAAUAGUAAGUUUACUUGCCUUGGCUGCUCUGUCUGCUACCGUGGCUACUGCCGGUCUUGCUCUUUCACAGAGUAUUCAUCAUGCUCACUUUGCUAAUCAGUUAUCUCAACAUAGCAGUCUUGCUUUAUCUUUACAAAGUCACAUAUAUUUACAGAUUAAUAACAAGUUAGAUGAAUUUAAAAACGCAAUUUUGGGGAUUGGAGAUCAGAUGGCAGCAUUAAAAUUGAGGAUGCGUCUAGCUUGUCAUGCAAAGUAUACAUGGAUGUGUGUUACUCCUUAAAAGUACAGUGACUGUAUUUGGGAAUGGGAAAAAGUAAAAAUGCAUCUGCUGAGUGUUUGGUCAGAUAAUAAUAUUAGUCUUGAUCUUAAGAAAUUAAAUGCUGAAAUUCAGGAUAUACAAAAUACACAUCUUGAUGAUGUUUCGCCAGAAGAUGUAAUUCAAACUUUACUGGACCAUUUAAAGUGGUUAAAUCCUCAGUCUUGGAUUACCGGAAGGUUGUCAGGAUUUAUUACCCUGGCCAUAAUUUACCUAUUAUUGAUAUUAAUCUUCUCAUGUCUGUUUCGUAUCCUCAUGCAACAGUAUACUACUCUCGGCACUAAACUUCAUGGAAUUAUUUUGCAGCAAAAGUUAAAAAAUAAAAAAGGGGGACCUGUGGGAAGCAGUCAGCCUUGAGAGCAGGUAAGGACAUGCCAGGCAUGCAGCCGCUGCUCGAAGGGACUGUCCCUACUUGUUCCCCUCCUUGUUCCAUUCCAUGGGAGAUAAAUCACCAGGGCCCAGAGAUCAGAAAGAAUGUAAAAUGAGACAAGCAAAGCUGUCUUCCCCCUGCACAUGCAGGUUAUUUUUGAUGCUUCUUGGUUUAUGGGUUUCCUCCCAGGGAAGUUAACCUUGAGCCGAGACAGUCUGUAGAUAAUGUAAACCACCAUCUGGCAACCUUCCUUUUUCUAGUCUAUAUAAUCUGCAACUGUAGCGCAAUAAAAUUUGCCUUGCAACCA